GCUCCAGUUGAACGGGUAAAGGUUCUACGGUGAAGAGCCCGGUCAAGGCGACCUUAUUAAAGAGAACAUUCGGGACAUCAAAGCCGAUGCGAUAUAGCAUCUGCCCUCUUCCACUUUUGCAAUCCGGAGUUCUUUGAACCGGAAGCGAGGAGGUGCACAGCUGGCUCUUAUGUCUAGUUUCGAAGCCAAUACACAUACACAGUCCUGCCCAAUA
Molecule: long non-coding RNA, 214 nt
Filed under: Phoenix dactylifera (date palm)
Lineage: Eukaryota; Viridiplantae; Streptophyta; Magnoliopsida; Arecales; Arecaceae
Description: long non-coding RNA (PDAC_LNC022759)
Source: RNAcentral